RNAcentral lists this long non-coding RNA (27193 nucleotides) under Malus domestica (apple). RNAcentral's name for it is "long non-coding RNA (MDOM_LNC004302)". Lineage: Eukaryota; Viridiplantae; Streptophyta; Magnoliopsida; Rosales; Rosaceae. The record is from RNAcentral.
AAAAACAAUACAACACUUAGUGGACUAGGAAGUCCACCAUCAAAACGAAACAGCCCUGACAUAUGCCUCAACAUUCACCUCCAUCAUUAUAAAACAGAUCUGCAACUAUCUCACUGCAACUCCCCAAUCCAACAAAAUUACAUAAAAUGAAAGAUCCCAAAACCUUGGAGAGAGAGAAGCCAUAAGAAUGCCCAAUUCUUUCCCAAGAAUUCUCUUGUAAAUCCCCACUCUAAUUUUCAAAGGUUGCAAACUUGAAAUUAACAUAGAAGGUAACUGGCUUCAGAGUCAACUAGGAUAAUACUGGGCAUAUAUGCAGAGAGUAGGCAUAGUAGCAACUUUCAGGGUAUGGAAUAAUACAAAAGGAAAGGGAAGACCACAGAAUUCUCUCAGUCAUCUUAACUUGAUUUGGUACUAAGAAUAAGUUAUGUAUACACUUCCCACUGGCCCAUCUGUACGUUAAUAUAGAAAUAGAUUAUAUCCUGGCAACAAGGAAGUGAAAUACUCCUAUUUUUAUAUCAAUAUUGGGCACAAAUUAAGAGUUCAUCAAUAUAAUUUUACCUCAAUUGUAACCAACUGUGCAUAUAAGUUUACCUGAAUUGUUUGUCUGUGCUGCUUGUAUAUAUUGAUCUGUACAGUUGCUUUCUUCAACAAAGGGUCACUACUUUUCUGUACAUCAUAAUCUAUAUGUUCCUGCAAACAUAGUUUACAACUGUAAGCUCAAUAACUAGUGCACUGUUCGAAGUACAUGAUUGAAAAAUGAAGAAAACGGAGUGACCUUAUAACAAUUAAUGAAAGAUAAAAUGUAGUUCACAGAAUAAAACAUUCAAACACCACCAUCUUGAUAGUUAAACAAUUUCACUGUAAAAGCUAUUAAACUUAGCAGGAAAAAAAAUUUAAACUUUAUCUAACAUUUGAAUCUACAAUUUUCAAUUAGCAACUCUUGUCACAAAUGUUUAUUAGUGGGGUACGUUCUAAGAUAUUGUUAUUUGCUAAUUGUCGAGGAUUAUUUGGGAGUUAAAUCUCACAAGAAGGCGUAAAGAUCACAUUAGAAUUAGAUAUUUUACUAGGAAGCUAAAGAUCACAUUAGAACCACCCGCAGGAAUACAAAAAAACGACAUACCUUAUAGUCCAGUUGAUCAAAACCCUUGCAAACAAAUUCGAACAAGGUUCUUAAGUUCUCAGGGCUGGGUGCAGUUACAAAUAUAUUUGAAUACCUGUGAAGAUAUAUUUGUAUCGUCAAAACAUAGUACAUGAAUAUGAGUGUAGACAGCUACACAUACACCAAAACAGUUUUAAUACAUUGUAAAAGGCAUACUACCCUGCAGCAAUAGCUCCGGAAAUUGCCAAACCAAGUGCAGCCGAUUUUCCACGGCCUCGAGCAGCAAGCAAGGCAACAGUACUUCGGAGUGUCUUGUCCAAGAUUGCAUCAAGAAAUGUAGCAACAGCAUUUCCCUGUUGAAACAUUUACCAACUCAAACUAUGAGUCAUAUUAGUAAAUCACACAUGAUAGAAAAACUCAAAACUAAUACAAAUCAGAGAGAGUGCCUACCUGGUCCAACGUACAACAUUUCUUUAUUAAAGGGCCAACAGGAAAGGCAUCACUCAGCUGCUCUUUUAGAUCCUUCAGUUCCCUUUGUGACUCUGAUAUCCCUUCAGAGUCCUUCAAUCAUGAUCAGAAAACAAGAAAAAAGUUAUCAAAGUUAUCAAAGCUUCACAAACUCCUAGAAAGUAUCCUAAUAACCAUUCGGUAUACACACACUUGAAAAAUUACUUUUAUUCUUUUUGUCAUCUCGCAUAAGAUGCCACGAAAAUAAAGCAUUCCUCGAUUUAUCAGUUCCGUCCUAUAGAAAAGUUACAAGGCUAAAAGGUUACCUCUUUCACUGGAACUGGGGUAAUUGACCUCAUAUGAGAUGAAAUUGGUAAAAUAUUCAGCUCAUCAUCCAUUACUACACAUGAUUUGCAUGACGCAAGUGACAAUAAGAAACGCUCGUUAAAACGUCCAGUAGCCUUAGAAUGGGAUUCAGUUCGAAACCUAUCAUGAACAUCCUGAAAUCAAGAGGCGCUGAUAAGACUGUAUGGAGAUUUUUGCAUUUGAGAGAACGAGAAAGACAGUGUUGCAAAUAAAACAUGACAUAACGGAAUUGUUAUCAAAUAUAAUAUGUGGUGCAUGGCUAUUGCUAUAUUCGUUCUAAGUCCAUAAUGUAGUAAAACUAGAAACUACCUCAACAAGAAGAACAAAUAUUAUGAGGAAACCUAGUUGUUUUUUCUUCUUCUUUUUGGGGCUAGAACAUGAAAAGAAACAACUAGUCUACAUAGGCCCAACUGGGAAACUUAUAUGUUCAGCAGCAUUCUCUUAAAGAAAGUCAAGCAAUUGAAUCUACCAAAAGUCUUCUUGUAGCCAAGCACAUCAUUACGAAAAAAUUCGGAAACUUUUAACAUGGCUAGUUUUCAAGAUUUUGCGGUAUAUAAUAAGCAUAACCAUGCUGGCCUAAAAACUAAGCAUUAAUUGUGUGCAUGCGUAAGAGAAAGAGGUAUUAUUAUAUGCAUACCAUAACCAUGGUGUAGAGGUUGGUGAGUGAGGUUAGAGAAUGAAGCAACAAUAUGACUAGUCCACCUCCCUCCACUGUCUCUAUCGUUCUUGCUAGUAGAUUUGGAGUCAAGGCCUCAAAAUCCUAAUGCAGGAGAUCAAACUUAGUCAUAAAACUUAAAUCAAUUAUACAAGGGGUCUUGGCCAAACCAGUAAAUUUGUAAGUUUCAAGUUACCUGAAGUAUACACAUUCCAAAGGUAUUACCAAGAACUCUUUCUGAAUCCUUGUACAAGCAAUAAGUCAAUCCCCCACUUUCAACAAAAAGUGAGAAAGGAUCAACCUUCUCGGGAUCAAGCAGCCCCCUCUGCAUCAUCUUUUUUACUUGCUUAGCACGUUUUUUCUUGUGACUGCAUCAUGAAGUAGUCAAACGCAACGAAUCAAUAUAUUUUAAAAACGAAAUUCCGCCUUGCCUUAUAAUAAGGUGAAGAAUGGAAGGUAGAAGAAAUCAACCUGCUGAGCUCGAGCUUGUCCUUGUAGCACCACAACACAGUCGGGCGCGAUUUCUUUACUUCAUUGCUUAGCAUAUAAUGAAGAUUCACAAUCUGAAGACCAUAUAAAACUCCAUAUUAGCCAUUUUCCGUUAGUUUUCGAUAGAUUUUCGAUGAUAUUUCUUACCUUGUUUGAGGUUUUUAGUGUUACUCGGUGAGUAUUGCAGGUGAAAACAAGAAACAGUAAAACUGGUAAAAUUUUCUACCCAAUUCAAUUUAAAUCAUUGUUAUAACUCCUCAAAUUGAAUAGGAAUAGCAAAUAGGGAAUGGGAUAGGAAAGGCAGAAGAAAUUAGGAGUACCUGGUCACGGGAUUUGUCGCCGACGAUGACGAACAUGGAGCGGUGCCGGUUUUUGACGCCAUUGCUUAUUAGGGUUCGGAUUCGUUCGUCCACCUUCUUCCUCAUUCUCUCUCUCUCUUCUCUCUCUGUGCAAUUAGGUUUAGGGUUUAUACCAUAGGGCAGUUGUCGUCGUCGGGCAGGGUUUAAGCCGAACUAGUGAGAGAGAGACUAGACAUCGCGGAGAGAUAUUGAGUUCAUCUCAACCGUUGAUUGGCUAUCUGAUGGCUGUUAUCAAAGCUGACAUAAAAAUGAAAACUCAACACGUGGCCAAGUAUUUUUUUUCUCUCUUUUUUGGCUUAUUUAUUGAUUUGCCCCAGAAAUUAUUUUUUUUGUCUUACUCUAGGUCAUGAAACAGAAUUUAUCUUACUUUAUCUUCUAAAACUACCAAAAUCGAGUCAUUUCACCCAUGUUUUGUCAAUUCUAUCUCAUAAACGUUAAAUAAAAGGGAGUCUAAACAUUUCAUACCAUGCUAGCAAAGAUGAGCCACUGUUGUUGGUGAGGUACGAAAUUUUCAAACUUUCCUAAACCUUUAAAACUUAAAAGGUAUCUUGAAUAUGAACGUAAAUGAGGUAAAGUUGCUCAAUUUUGGCAAUUUAUGAAGGGUAAAAUGAGACAAAUUCAAUUUAAGGCUAAAGUGAGAGUAAAUGGCAGUUUCAUGAGAUAUAUCAAUAAAUAAAUCUUUUCUAGAAUACAACUAAAUUAUGUACUCACGGUAAAAGAUAAAUUAAUAUCGAACUUGUCAUUGACGAUAUCUAAACAUAAAACCUUUCAAGUUUUUACCUAUAAGAAUAAAUUUGGUAUAGUAAUUUCUUUUCUAAUUUAAAGUUUCCCAUAGAGUUAUGACGAAUUUGAUACCAAAUUAGGCUGUCAUUGUGUGGCAUAGCCGAAUUCCUCCUCCCUUACUUUAAAAAUAACGAUGUACUCAAAAAAAGUUUCCCAUAGAGUUAAAAUGAUCUUUAGUUGCUUGCUGAGACAACCCAUAUGUAUAAUAAGACAUUGAAAAAGGUGCCUCUGUCAUUUACACUCACACGAUCGAAUAAGUAGCUCCGACAGUUGCAUCAUAAAAUUAAGGGGUUUUCCGAGAUUGUAGUAAGGUUGACGAUUAAAGUUUGGGAAAUUUUCAGGUUAAGGAAUCAAGGGAUCACAUUUUCAAGUUUCGUAGGCAUUCUCUUUCCUUUGGAAUGGUGUUGGAAUCCGUCCUGAAGUUGCCCAUUCCUUUGCUCUUGAUUUUCAGAGUUGGAUAGCUAUAAACCUUAGGACACAUUGUACCACCAUACAUGGUUUACCUUGGAACCUUAUCUUUAAUUCAACUCUCUGGCAUUGCUGGAAAUGGAGGAAUAACUUUGUCUUCAAUGAUGGCCAACAACCGCUUGACUCACCCCAGAAUUUCAUUUUUCAAUUUGCAAGGGAAUGGUGUGAUGCGAACAAGUGUUCUUCUAGUAAGCCUCCUAGACAAAAUCAUCUCAAUCCAUUGGAUUCGUUUGCCAAUUGGUAUACAAAAUCAAUACAGAUGGGAGUUGUAAAGACCCAUUUAGCCACAUAAGUGCUGGAGGUUUGCUUCGUAAUUCUGAAGGGAAAUGGAUUAAGGGAUUUGCUGCUAAUUUGGGCAGAGGAACCAUCAUGGAAGGUGAGCUUUAAGGGUGGUUUCAUGGGACUUUCUAUAGGUUGGGAUGAGAGUUGCAAGGAAGUGAUUAUUGAAUGUGAUUCUUAUGCUGCUGUUACUUUGAUCCAACAACCUAUUUUAGUUCCCACUCUACAAUCUCAUUAUUGACUGCAAAGAAGCCAUUGAAAGAAAUUGAAGAUGUGAAGUUACUCAUAUCUAUAGAGAAAAUAAUGUCUUAGCUAAUCACACGUCUGACUUAGGUCAUGGGUUAUCACUUGGUCUUCAUGUUUUUGCUUCUCCUUCUACCAUUGCUACUAAUUUUAUAGUUUCUAAUACUAUUGGCAGGGCCCUCCCUAGAGCUGUUUUUUAGUAGCUUUUUUGUUUUGCUUGUUGGGCUUUGCCCUCUUCUGUACCCAAAAAAAAAAAAAAAAAAAAAAAUAUUGGGAAAUUUAUUUGGACCCAACUUUUUUAUCUCUACACCCAAAUAAUAUUUUCUCUUAUCUAAUCUUCCAAAUUUGUCCUUAAAUAACAAACAUUGAAGUUUUCUUUGUAUCUCUACACCCAAACCCCACGAUCCACCACUGUAGGGCGCUCCAUUAUUUCCGACAAACCCAACUCAAACGCCAGCAACACUAAAAUCGACAAAUCAAGACUGGAGAACAAAUGGUGUAGGAGUCCUAAUGUGAAUAUUAAAGCAAACUUAAGUUGCAAAACCCUUUUUUAUUUCAAUCGAUGAAAGGACCUUGGGUUAUGAACAUAAGGAACCUAUUAGGGUUUAGAGGUCCCCUCCACAUCAUAUGCAUAAGCCCUUUUUCUUCAUUCAUUAAUUUACGGAAGGGAAAAUUAAUACUAUUAUUCUCAUAAAAAGUGGGAAUACCAAGGAAAGAGAUCCUCUCCACACCAUAUAUUUUUCUUUUCUGAGUAGUUAUAUCCAAUGGAGAGAGGAAAACAAGAGCACCAAUGGUCGCAGGUUCACCGGAGAAAAUGAAGGUGCAGUGGUGAUGUGAGUUUAGGGUUAUUGGGUGUAAAGAUAACAACUUUAAUAUUUAUUUUCUCAUUUUUAUUUAUUUAAGGGCAAAUUUGAAAGUUUAGUAGAGAAAAUUUGUUAGUUGGGUGUAGAGAUAAAAAGGUUGGGUCCAACAAAAUUUCUCAUAAAGUUUAAUCACGCGAUUAAGUUCUUGUGCAAUGAGUAAAUUGUAGCAAUGACCCAUCAACUAAAAAUCCAUUAUUAUUGAUCCCUCAACUCAUCAAAAUAUGUAGUUAUGGUCAUUUUCGUCAACUUUGUAAGAAUUUUGUCAAAAUAAAUUAUGUUGGAAGGACCAUUGUUACAAUUAAGGUCCUUCAACUCAUCAAAACAUGUAGCUAUGGUCAUUUUCGUCAACUUUGUCAAAAUGAGUUAUGUUGGCAUGACCAUUAUUGCAAUUGGGUUAAAGUUGAGGAAUCAUUGCUCCAAUUGGGUUAAAGUUGAGGGAUCAUUUCUCUAGUUAGAUUAAAGUUGGGGGACCAAUGAUAAUUAAGUUUUAGUUAAGGGAUCAUAGUUGCACGUUUUGAUGAGUUGAGAGAUCAAUGAUAAUGAAUUUUUAGUUAAUGGAUCAUUACUCCAAUUGAGUUAAAAAUAAAGGACCAUUGCUACAAUUUACUCUUGUGCAAUAGAAGAUUAAUUUGGCCGAACAACCUGAUUAAGGUGCCUACUUUCUCUUUAAUUCAUUGGUAUCAUUUAUUUUCCCUUAAGCUGAAUUAUGCUCAAUUUAUGUAUCAAUAUUGUAAAGUUGUCUUUGUUAGAGUAAUUUGGACAAUAUAAAUUGAAAAUUAUUUGUGUAUAUGGAAAAGAUUAACCUCAGGGGUCACUUCGCCGGACUCCGUAGCAAUCUCCACCACUCCAAUCGUAAUGGUGAGUAAAUCACUUGUGUUUGUUUCCAUUUUUUCAAUUGGAAAUUGGGGGUUUUGAAUUCAUAUUUUGUCAAUUGGUUUUGUGAGCACUGAGAAUACACUACGAGCUUGUGUGUGUGUACAAUAUGUUGGAUUUGAUCUUUAUAAAGAAUGCGAGAAAUUGGGGUUAGGAAAGAGAAGAAAAGGAAACAGAACUCGAACUUCGAUCUUCAUUCUUGUUACUAAAGGAGAAAACCGAAUUUGAACCGGUUCAUACGUAAUCGAACCGAAUUUGUAUAGUUCGGUUCACCCCUUAGUACCGAACCGUACCAUACCAAAAAAAAUUUCUUGAGUUUGGUUUUGAUACAUCCCUCAUACUGUACCAUACCAAAUCGUGGCCAGACCUACUGAAUACAAAACUUAUAUCUGGGUCGUAAGUCGUAAGGCCUCCAAAAAAAAAGUUCAUAUUAUUCAUACCAAUCGGACAAAUCCCGCACCCAAAAACAAUGGCUAGAUAGAAAGUUCAAUUAUAGAUUAGGUAAUCUAUCCUUUUCAACUUAAAUGCACAUUCAUGAUGGUUAUGCAAAUCAUAUUAUGUUAACAAAUGCAACAAUUAAUUAUAUUUAUCCAUUUGGAAUGAUAUAUAUUUUCAAAGAUGGAAUUACAGACCCCGUUGACGUUGAGGCCAUUGCAUGAGAGAAUUUUAGAUGAUUUUCAAUUAAUUUAUAUUAUUGUUGUGAUAACCAUAAUAAUUAUUUUCUAAAUGUAAAACUAUAUUAAUGAAAUUUUCUUUGUCGGUCAAAAGAAGAUGAAAAGAUAUCUUUAUCUUCUAUCACAACAAAAAAAUUAAGGAUAUUAAUGUAAUAGGCUAAUAGCGAUGGGGUGAAGAAAUGGAACUAUCCUAAAUAGGCAGUUGCUGGUUAUAUUGGAUCAGGUGGUCUGAAUGAUUGGAUAAUUAGCAAAUAAAAAGGUUCCAUUUUUCAUGGACCCUCAAGUGGAAAUAUGGGAUAAAAGAUGGCAUAUACCAUUUUAUCCAUUUGUGAUUGUACAUUUUGAUGGUUGUGAUUUCACCCGAUGGCGCGGCAAGUGUGGAUUGGGAUAAGGAUGGUUUUGGUCUAUCAUCAAAGAUGGUUUGAUGUUCACGACUGGAUUUUACAACGCAUCCAAGUGCAUGGGUUCUAUAAAUACAGAGUUGCGCACAAUAAAAAAGUACAAAGGACCUUCAAACCUUUCACACACUCUGAGAAACUCCUGAUUCUCCCAACUUCGUCAACACAUCUUCAAUUUGGAUUAACAUCACUGUUUGUCAGUGAGGAGUCCUUAGUCUUCUCGUCUCAUUAGCCCUCUAGGUGAAGUGAGGUGUUACUGAAUUACUUGAGUAUUCAGCACAUUGAAAGUCGAACCUUAUUUGAACUUCACAGUAGUUAGCAAUCUUAUCUUCAGGUUUUAGAACCCAAUGCCAAGACAUAUUCCUUCCUCGACAGUGAUGGUUUGUACACAAAAGUUGGUUUGUACACAUAAGUCAGUAUUGUGUUUGACACACCAUCCCAUUCAUUCUACUAGCCCACAAACGCGUGGACUCGUCCAAAAUUACCCCACUCUCGGCCCGUUCACUUGCCCACUCGUCCCACGCGGCCCGUGAGUCUUCAGUGCCUGAUAGGGGGGCCUACUGUUAGGGCCGUUGUUGGCCACAACCCAGAGCCCAACGAUUUUUUUUUGCAUCCCACGACUGGCAUUUUUGGACCGUUGGUUGAUCCAACGGUCCAGAUUCAAAUUUUGUUUUUUUAAAUGUUAUUUUAAAAUACAUUGAAUCCAACGGCUGAGAUCGAAUAUAAUCAAAUCUAACGGUAAAAUAAAAAAAGAUAAAAAAAGAUAUAACAGUCCAAAUUUAAAUCCAACAGCUAAAAUAAUUUUAAAAAAAAUUAUUUAACUCAAAAUUCACCCAAAAACUCUAUAAAUACCUUUGUAUUUGUUCAAACAUCCACACAAAACUCAAUUUUCUCCCACAAUUCUUCCAUUUUUUCUUUCUACCAUUUCUUUCCAUUUCCAAAUUGUUCAACACGAUCCUUGAAUUGGCCAUCCCAAGCAGUAAGACAAUUCUUCCACUCCCAAAGCAUACAAUCGAGACUUCCUAUCAUGUCAGGAAAGCCUAUUUUGUCUGCUUUGAGUAGAAUGUGACGACAUGUCCCGAAUUAUUAUAUAUUUUUCUCCCUAAGUGUGUAAAGUGACGGUAAUGCCCUCGUGAUUUAGUGACGUGGAUGUACAUAUGUAGUUUUAAAUUAUUAUUUCUAUUGUCGUAGUUAAAUUGUACUCGACGCCAUGAGUGUGUUGAUGUGACCUAGGGCUAAAACAAAUUCGUAACGAAGAAGUUACGAACAGACGAGUGUGUAAAUGCGUAGAAAUAUAUUUUUAUGGGUUGGCUAUACCUUACCCACCAAUCACCUUAAUUCCUGAUUUCUUUGGCCUAAUUGAAUUAAAAAUAUCUCUCAUUUUUCCUUCUGCCCAAUCACGCACAUACACACCAUCACUCUCUCUCUUCUCUCGGACCUUCUUCUUCUUUCUUCUCAUUCCGUACACCCGAGCCACCCUUACCUCACAAUCAUCAUCAAAACAUUAUGGAUCGAAUUGGAAAUCACUACCAUCGCAGUCACCUCGAUCCCACGAACUCAUUGAUACCCUUAGGUCGAGGAAUAGACGUCGGGAAUUCGAGAACUCGGGAGCUCUGGCGAGGUGUAUUUUUCUACUUUGUGAUCGUGGUCUUUUUCUAUGGUUUAAAGGCUUGAGGUGGGUCCUAAUCAACUUUAUAGGGACCCUAGAUUAGUUUUGGAGCAGUUUGAACGUUGGAAUAGGUGAGAACAUGGAGUUGCAGGUUGGCCGGUUGAUCCAAGCCUUACUCCGACCACUUUCUGUCGGUUUUAGAACCUCAAGUAGGUAAGAUUGUAUUCUUCUAGUUGAGAGUUUCAAAUCCAUAUAAAAUUCAUGGAAUUUGGUUGAAAAAUGAUGAAGAUAUUAAAGUUUUAAGAUUUUUCCAAAAAUCAGCGACACAAACGGCGCCCGACGGCCAGCGAUGGAUUCCGACAAAGCCAUCGGAGAAGGAGGAGAAUAUUAUGUCUAACUUUGACAGAAUAUACUAACAGCGUCAGGUAACUCUAUUAGUUUUUAAACAAAAUAUUCUACUAUUUAAUGAAAUAUUCCCUAACGCCGUUAGGGAUUCCGUGCCUGCACGUGCCGGCUUAUGAGGGCGCGUGAGACGUCAGGAAAUUAAUCUAAAAAUAUUGGGGUGUUCGAGUUGUUGAGUAGGUCAUGUUGGUAUAUUCAAACACCCUAUUUGAGCAACGUAUGAGAAGUUAUUCCUAGGGUUUGUGUAUGUGCCUUAAAAUUAAUGUAAAAUUAGUUAUUUCGCAUAUAGGUGAGACUUACCCGGAGGACAAACGUGGUCAAACGAGACUUGGGGGCUACGAUCCUACUACUUACCAGUGAGCGGGCUUUUUUUUUCUAUAUAUAUGUAAAUAUGCUUAUGAAUCCCAUAAACUACUUUAAAUGAACGUAUGUUUUAAAUGCCAUGUCGUGUGCAUUAUGUGUUAGUAUUGCAUUAGUAUAGCUAUGCAUAGUAUUGGAUGAGACUGCGCAGACUCAGGUAAGUUUCAGGUGAGUACAUCAUGAUGGUAUUGGGUGCGUGUGUGUGGUUAUACGUUGAUGCAUUUUGAGCUUAUUAUCCUGCACAUUGGUGUUAGUGUUCUCGCCCAUGGCCAGGGCAUAGUUUUUCACAUGAUGUUCACCUCCUGGGCCGCACGCUCACUUUGGAUCCAAGUUUGGUGCACAGCCAUAUUGCACAGACCACAAUAGGUGGUUCCGACUCGUAGGUGACCUGCAAUUAUUUGCACAGCCUUCACGUGAUCGUAGCACUUAAGCGUACUUAUCUACACCCAGCCCUGUUGUACAGACCACAAUAGGUGGUUCCGACUUAUGUGCAUGCAUACUUGAUGAGCUAUAGAUUCAAUUGUACAGGUUACAUUAGGUGACUCCGGUUGGCAUACUAUUUUAGGUUGAUUCGUAUCACCUGGCUUACACAUUUUAUGGUUGAACAUCUUGACAUGGCAUACCUCUGUUUUCACUGCUCUAAGCAUUAUCCUUAUGUACCUAGUUGUUAUUAUUUUCUGGAAAAUUAUAUGGGUUUACAGUGAGGGGUUAGUAUGUUCAUAAAGACAACUGUGUUUUCAAAAACUUUGUUUUUGCCUACUCACAUUUUUUGUUUUGCACCCUUUCAGGUUCUAGGUAGUUGGUCAUCCUUGGUGGCUCACGAGGACUUUCACGGCGGUUCUGACAUCUCUGUAAAUAAGUAGGGAUUUUUUUCCCUGUUUGUAUAAUUAGUACUUAGUUGGUUCGAUUGCACUUUCGUUUACCCAUGCUCUGAUAUUUGUAUAACUUGCUUGGUCAUCUUUACUCACUUAUAUUAUCUUAGUUUAGAUAAGUUUGGUUUUAGGUUUUUAUUUAUUCGCAUUUCUUUUAUUAUUACUUCUGUUGCGCAUUUUGGCUACGUUACUCUUACGUGACGGGCAUCAUGUUUCGACUUCGGUUGGGGUGUGUCAUAAAAGCCUCUUCAAGUCUUCAUGAUUUGGCUUGCAGAGAUAUGUGGCUCCAUAUGUGGCCUGAAUUGCCCCACAGAAGCGCUCCAGGUUUUUAAUAGCAGUAGUCUCCGCAAGUCGGCAAUACUCAUCAGUUGAGUUUGCAGAGCACUCAUUAGCUAGCAUCCGAAAUGCAGAUGUGAGCUUCUGAUGAGGUGAUAGACUUUGUCGGCCUACGACAUUUAUCUUCCUUGCAAAGUAGUGGUCAUGAUUGACAACUGUGUUCAAGAUGCUUUCAAAAAUCUCUCUCCUCAUUCGAAACCGUCUCCGAAAAUCAUGAGCAGGAAAUCUCGGACGCUCAAUAAAAUAAUAUUUCAUCAUUCGGUCAUGACACUCUUCUCUAUCACGUUGCACAAAUGAACGCUUCGUGACAUAACCACAAUAGCUAGAUUCGACAUGGUGCUCAUAUUGCAUAAGCGAGUUUGGAAGUUUAGCUUAUGCGUUGAUCAUUUUUGAAUCCUCAAUGUCAAGGCUUGCUUGGUAUUAUGUCAUUUGCAUUGCCCUGCUACACCUUCUUCUAUCAUCCAUUGUUGAUAUAUUGAGGAUUUUUAUGAAACAAAAACACUUUGAAAGUUGAAAGAUUAGUGAAUAUAGGGAAUGAUUGAAGGUUGAAAGAUUGUGUGACCAACUGAUAUUGAACAUGUGUUUAUAUAGAGGAUGAUUGAUGAAAGUUGAAAGUUUGGUGAAAGUUGAACGGUUGGUGAAAGUUGAAGAUUUGUGAAAGUUAAAGACUUGCUUUGUGGAAAGAUUUAGUGAUUUUUUCAAUAUUUAUUGGAAUUUAAAUAUUUUUAUAUUAAAAUGUUCAUAAAAUUAAUUUACCAUAGGCUACAUAAUUUUUUUUAAAAGUUAAUUUAAGAAAAAAAAUUAGCCUAAGUUCAUUCUUUAAUAAUCCCGAACUAAAAUUUUAGGCUAGGGUUGGAGCAGAAAAACUGUUUCUGUGUUAAAAGCUAAAUUUUUUAGAUUAAAAAUUUUAAAUUUUAACCCAAAGGUUGGAGAUGAUUUAAGAAUGGAUAAACUUAACCAAGAAAAGAAGAAAAAAGAUGAAGGGCAAAUAAGUGAGAAGCAACAUGACACGACACACGGACGACCAUAGCAAUAAAGCGUGCGUCCUCACGUCCAUUGAAUAUAUAGAUGGGAGCUACAACAUCGUGUUUCACGUGCAUGUGUAUUAUACAUAAAGGCAUAUACAGUGUUAGCUUAUAUAUUAUAAAGUUUGUAGGCCACUUACCCAAUUUGGCAUAUGUUUUAUCUUUUUACGUGAAUAACCAAUGUGUUAUGAUGAUACAAGUCUCUUAACAUAUCCGGAGUUAGAAAUAUCAUAAGACAGUGUUGCGAUCAUAUUGAAAUUAAUUGACAGUUUGUAUUAUAUAUUUGAUUAUUCUUUAUUAACUUAAGGAGACAGCAUACUUAGACCUAAUUUAGUCACAUUCUCCAACCGAAAAUAAAGCGGUGUAGUAUUCAUACACUUUUUUUUAUUUCUUACACAGUCUUAAUUAAUUUCUAUUGUUUGAUCUUCUUCAAUUCAUUCGAUCUGACGACCGAAAAUUAAGAUGGUGUGUGGACGAGUAAAUUAUAACAAUGGUCCCUCAACUUUAAUCAAAUUGGAGCAAGGGUGCUCAACUAAAAAUCCAUUACCAUUGGUUCCUCAACUCAUCAAAAUGUGUAGCUAUGGUCAUUUUCGUCAACUUCGUUACAAUUUUGUCAAAAUAAGUUAUAUUGGAAUGACUAUUGCUACAAUUGGGGUCCCUCAACUCAUCAAAACGUGUAGCUAUGGUCAUUUUCAUCAAUUUCGUUAGAAUUUUAUCAAAAUGAGUUUUGUUGGAAUGACCAUUGCUACAAUUGAAUUAAAGUUGAGGGACUAUUAUUUCAAUUGAGUUAAAGUUGAAAGAUCAUUUCUUCAGUUGUAUUAAAGUUGAAGGAUCAAUGGUAAUGAAUUUUUAGUUGAGGGGACUAUAGCUGCACGUUUUAAUGAGUUGAGAGAACAAUAAUAAUGAAUUUUUAGUUGAAAAACUAUUACUUCAAUUGAGUUAAAAUUAAGAAACAAUUGCUACAAUUUUUUUAUAUGGAAAGUGGAUGAUGUGAAUAGCACAUCCAAAAAUAAAAGGGAACUUUAACGAAAAGCACCCGGUACUGUUCACUUUAACGAAAAACCACAUUUUUACACUAAAAAGUCAAUCCUGGUACUAUUCACUUUACCCUUUAUUUUGUCCUUAUCAUUAAAACUCAAAGUUUUCAAGCCCUUUUCAUUAGUUUUCCUAAAAUAAAAUGCACCACAAUUUGGUAGGAUCUUCCUGUUGAGAGUAAUAAAUUAAUAAUUGCCGAAAUAUUGGAUAAUUUGUCGGCCACAACGCUAUGAGGGAGUAUCUGGGGAUGAAUAUACUCUUGCCGACAGAUGCCCAAAUUCCAACUGCCAUUCAAAUGAGCCCUCCACCACCACCGGCCAUAAUAAAUUCUCUUUCUUUAGUGAAGAAGAAAAAGAGGUACUUGGCCCUCACCUCAACUUUUUGAGAAAGAACAAGUUUAUCGCUAUCAGAAUGUUUCGGUCAAUUAUAUAAGUUAUGUGUAAAUUUUUCUUUAGAUAACAUUACAUUAUUAUAUUUAAAAUGUUCCGUAACGAUAAAUUUGUUUCAUACAAAUUAUUCUCCAACUUCUUGGAUUUUUCUCCUUUUUCCCGAAAACCAGCUUAUAUUAGUGUUCAUCCUCUGUCAAUAUCACUCGCCCACAACUAUUCAACUAACUUUUAAUAAUUUGACAACGUGUCAUAUUUUUGUGCAAAGCGGGCCCAUUUUUGUGGGUGAUAUAAUAAUGGCGUAUGUGGUUUGUCAAGACAUAUACUCAUUUAUCCAUUAGCAGUUAGGUAAGUCACCUCACUCACCCACAGCCUAACACAUCAACAAAUAUUGCUUACAAAUUCUAGAAAAUUCGACCAAGAAAAAAAACCAAAUGCUCGCAAAUUAAAAUUGUGUAACAUGAUUAGUUUUUUAUCCAUUAGUAUUAAUUUUACGUUGGAAGAAAUUCCAAAUUUAUUCUUGUAAAGAGGGAUAUGAAAAUACUUUGUAUGUCUAUCACCAAAAUCUUCGAAUGUUUGAAUGGUUGAUUUUCAAGUCUCACACAAUUGGAUUUAGUUCAAGUGAGAAAGAAAUACACUCAAACUAUUAGAUAUGAGGAAUGAAAAUACACUACAAAAUCUUGUGAACAUUUCUAAUAUUCUCUUCUAUCUACUUUUUGUGAACCAAGUUUUUAUUUGUUUUUUUUUUUAACAAAAGAUAUUUUUUAUACUAGGGAAAUAAGGUGGGUUUAGCCUCAUAAUGGGCUAACAUAAUCUAGUUCAAACUUGCAUUUGGUGAGAAUCGAACCUAAAAUCUCUCACUUACAAGUGAAGAGGAAUACCAUUAGAAGUGUCAUGAAAUUAGCAGUCUUAUAUGUAAAAAAUUGAUUGACUAAAUGCUGUGUUAAAAAACAAGAUUAAUACUUGCAUCUCCCCACUUGGAAAAUGCAAAUAUUUCAUUUCUUGCAAAUAACGUAUAUCAUGCGUUCUGUUCAAUCGCAUAUUCAAAAAUGUUAAAAACAAGAUUAAUAUUUCUAUCUCCCCACUUGGAAAAUGCAGUAUUUCAUUUUUUACGAAUAACGUAUAUCCUGUGUUCCGUCCAAUCGCGUAUUAAAAAAAUGUGUGAAGUUUGGAUUAACUACACUCUUUGAGAAUUUCCUUAAAUAACCACUUUUUGAAAAUUUCUUAUAGGACUAAGUGAGUCUCCGCUGAGAAUUUCCUUAACUAACACAACACUACUUGAGUGAUAAUUUGUUAUAUCUUGAAUAGAGAAUAAAUCAGUUCCCUACUUUUGAAGGUACUAUUAACUUACACUAUAUUUGAAUGAGAACAAUAAACUUAGAAUUUAGAUGAAGGAAAUAAAACAGUUUCCUACUUUUGAAGGUACUACUCGAGUGAUAAUUUGUUAUAUCUUGAUAACGUGUCAUAUUUUUUUGCUAAGCGGACCCAUUUUUGUGGGGUGGUAUAAUAAUGGCGUUUGUUGUUUGUCAAGGGCAUAUACCCAUUUAUCCAUUAGCAGUUAGGUCACCUCACUCACCCACAACCUAGUACAUCAACAAAUAUUGCUUACAAAUUCUAGAAAAUUCAACCAAGAGAAAGAAAACCAAAUGCUCGCAAAUUAAUCUGUGUAACAUUAGUUUUUAUCCAUUAGUAUUUAUUUUACAUUGGAAGAAAUUCCAAAUUUAAUCUCGUAAAGAGGGAUAUGAAAAUACUUUGUAUAUCUAUUAUCAAAAUCUUUGAAUGUUUGAAUGAUUGAUCAUCAAGUCUCACACGAUUGAAUUUAGUUCAAGUGAGGAAGAAAUACACACAAACUAUUAUAUAUGAGGAUUGAAAAAUACACUACAAAAUCUUGUGAUAACAUUUCUAAUAUUCCUUUCUAUCUACAUUUUGUGAUAAGUUUUUUUUUUCCUUUUUUGAACAAACUAUAUUUAUCUACAUUAAGGGAGAGGAGGUGAUCUUAGCCUCACAAUGGGCUAGCAUAAUGUGGUUCAAAUUCGCCUUUGGCGAUAAUCGAACCUAAAACUUAUCAUUUACAAGUAAAUAGGAAUACCACUAGAUGGAUCAUGAAAUUAGCAGUCUUAUAGGUAAAAAAAAAUUGAUCGACUAAAUGAUGUGUUAAAAAACAAGAUUAAUACUUGCAUCUCUCCACUUGAAAAAUGUAGAUAUUUCUGUGAACACGGAAAAUUCCUGAAACGAAAGAGACAAGAACAACGUGCACAAAAUAAUAUUUUGGUGUUAAUGGAUUUGUUGGGUUACGAUCUCUUUUAACUUGAUCCUCUGAUUCGAUCUCCGUAAGGUGUUGAUUUAUGGAUGUUUCGUUGAUCCAAGGGCUGUUGAGGCUUGAUCUUAGAUGAACUGUUGGAAGUUUCUUCAAGGGGCCGUGGGCUUGAUCUUUGAAGGUGGAUUUGAGCGGAUCUUCAAGGAGCCGUUGGGGCUUGAUCUUGAGGAUGAGUGUUUCUUCAAGGGCCGUUAAGGCUUGAUCUUGAAUAACGGUGAUGAACGGAUCUUCAAGGGCUUUUGGGCUUGAUCUUGAAGAACGGUUGGAUGUGUGGAUUUGUUGAUGUUGUUGAUCCAAGGGCCGUCGGAGCUUGAUCUUGGAAGAACGAUGAACGAAGAACGAAGAACACUUUCUUCAAAGGCCGUCGGGGCUUGAUCUUGAAUUGGUGAUUGUUGAUCCAAGGGCCGUCGGGGCUUGAUCUUGGAAGAACGAUGAACGAAGAACGAAGAACACUUUCUUCAAGGGCUGUCGGGGCUUGAUCUUGAAUUGGUGAUUGUUAAUCCAAGGGCCGUCGGGGCUUGAUCUUGAUUCUUCGGGAUGAACGGAUGAUGAACAAUGAACACUUUCUUCAAGGGCCGUCGGGGCUUGAUCUUGAAUUGGUGGAAGUUCUUCAAGGGCCUUUGGGGCUUGAUCUUGAAGGUGGAUGAUUGUUGAUCCAAGGGCCGUCGGGGCUUGAUCUUGGGAUGAACAGUUGUGUGGAUUUGUUGAACACUUUCUUCAAGGGCCGUCGAUGCUUGAUCUUGAAUUGGUGGAAGUUCUUCAAGGGCCGUUGGGGCUUGAUCUUGAAGGAGGAUUUGACGAAGAACGAAGAGGGCUUUCUUGAUCCUUCGGGAUUUGCUUGAAUUUGGGAGGUUGGAUGCUUGAAAGCUUUAGAGUUUCAAAGCUUCAAGGAUUUUGGAUGUGUGGGGAGUAUUCUCUUCCAUUUUGGGAGUAGAGAAAUGUAUUUGUGAAUUGGUUUUUGAUACCUUGAUGUAGAAGCCUAUUUAUAGGCUUUGAGAAUGAAUCACCACCACAAAAUAUUUUUUUUCUUUUCCAAGCACCAUUGCCUAAUUUCCCACUUAAUACAAUUUUAAACUUGAAGUGGUAAUUUUAUGGCCUAAUUUUCCACUUAAUAUCAUUUUAAACUUGAUAUGUGCAUGCUUUGUCAUUGCCCAAAAUGAGAAGAAAACCUUGUUUUGAUCUUCAAUGAAUUGAAAUGUGCUUGCCUUGUCAUUGCCCAAAAUGAGAAGAAAAACUUGUGUAAUCCUUCAAGGGUAUUUCUUUUUAUUUUGUUGAGUCGCACACCAUGUGUACAAUUUGUAUGACACGUGGCAUAUGCCAUGUACGCCUUGACACGUCAAAAUUUUAAUGCGUUGGUGAACAUUUAUUUCACCGCAAUUUCGGUGUCUACAAAUGCCCCCACUUCAAGGUGCGUCGUAUACAUGUGCUUGUCACGUGUAGGAGAUGCGUUUUGAAGUCCCUUACUGUAGAUGUCAAUCCAAUGGCCAUCGAGGCUUGAUCUUGAAUUGGGCUGGAGAUUUCUUCAAGGGCCGUUGAGGCUUGUUCUUGGACUUUGUUUGAAAUUUCUUCAAGGGCCAUCGAGGCUUGAUCUUGAAGGUUGAAAUUGGACCACAAGGAGCUUCAUGUGGUAGAUGAUCUUUGGCUUUGGUAGUGGAUGAAUCGGCACGUAUUUGUUUUUGCGCUUUGUUGACUUUCCACAGCUUUGAUCUUGAACUGGGUUGGAGGAUUUUUUGGAUUCCUCCAAUUGUUGAUUUUCCACAGUUUAUUCUUGAACUGGAUUUGAUUCAAAUAUGGUGGACGCUUGAUCUUGAAUCGGACUUGUGAUUUCCUCAAGGGCCGUCGAGGCUUGAUCUUGAAUUUGGCCGGAAACUUCUUCAAGGGCCGUUGAGGCUUGAUUCUUGAAGGUUGACUCGAACACAUGGCAAGCAGGCACGAGGUGAAGGUGACGACUUGUUGCUUUGUUCAAUCUUUCUAAUUCACACCUGAGCAGUUUGGUCAACGGUAUGAUCUUCAAGAUUGAUGGGCUCUUCUUCCAGUUGGUGAUUUGAUCUUUAAGGAUUUGAUUCAAGGGUGGUGAAACGGCACAUGCAGCCCACAACGCCUAGCAAGUCGACCCAAGAAUUUGAGGGUUAAAACGAGUCCUCCACCCAGAGUGAUUGCAAACCUGAUGAUAUGAGAUACUUUUGAUUUUGAAGAAGUAGCGGAUGAAUCGGCACGUGCUUUGUUGUGCUUGUCUCCACAUGCUUCAAUGUAUCAUUUUCCCUUGUCUUAUCUAUUCUUCUAGCAGAAUGUAGCAUCUUCUUAAGUUCUUCAACUCAGACUCCUUCUGCUGAGCUGACUGUGCAGGCUGCAUUAUUCUCUGCUUGUUUCUUUAGGCAGAUGUGGCAGCUUCUUGAGUUCCUCAGCUCGGACUCCUUCUGCUGAGCUGAUUGUGAAGACUGCAUUCUUAUCUGCUUGUUUCUUCUGUACGUUGUCUCCACAUGCUGCAAGGUAUCAUUUUCAAUUGCCUUAUUUGUUUUCCAGGCAAAUGUGGCAUCCGAGUUUGAGUGGAGGUUCUGGCAUAUUGUUUUCUUUAUCCUUGUCUUUGUAGGUAAGAACAAGGACAAAGGAAAGGACAGGGAGAACGCAUGAUAUGAUAUACUCUUGCUUUCUACCCUGGUGAUAUGAGAUACUUUUGCUUUGGUGUCAUUUGUUUGCAGAGGUACCCCAAGGAAUAAGAAACACUGAGUGACUCGAGAGGCUUUGUUGGGAAGGCAUUCUAGGAGAUGAAGAAAGGUUCUUGGAGAUGAAGAAAGGUUCUCGGAGAUGAAGAAAGGUUAUGUAUGUCUGCCUUGCUAUGGAGGGUAAAGGUGGACAGUUAUAGGAAAUUCUUUAGUACCUGUAGAGGUACUAUUCUUUUACUCGUGUCGGCAACCAAUGUGUGAUUGAUCAGUAUGGCUUCACGUGUUUUCUUCUUUAUCAGAAAUCUUCGACAAAUUGUCCGUAAUUUUCGUCAAGCUGAGUGUGCAUGUGACAGGUGUUGACGAGGCUGAAAAAGACUGGUGCCUCUUCGAUAUCUGGGAUCGGCGCUUCGACAAAUUGCCCGUGAUUUCCGCAAAGCUGAGUUUGCGCGUGACGGGUGCUGACGAGGCUGAAAAAGACUGGCGCCUCUUCGAUAUCUGGGAUUGGCGCUUUAACAAAUUGCCCAUGAUUUCUGCAAAGCUGAGUUUGCACGUGACGGGUGCUAACGCGUCUGGAAAAGCAAGAUGCUUCUCCGAUUUCUGAGCUUGCCUCUUUGAUUUUUGAAUUGGCCUCUUCGAAUUCUGAGCUCGCCUCUUCGAUCUUUGAAAUCCCAUCGAGUGUUGAUCUUUAUAGAGGCACGCAGUUCGUUUCAAAGCACACUUGAAUUUUCGCUUGUAGAAACUCCCUUCUUGCACUUCUAAGAUCUUGAUUUGUCCGACCUCUUCUUUCUUCAACACCUUUGAAAAUGUCUGGACCCUCCGACCGUCAUUUUGAUUUGAACCUUGGUGAAGAGGUAGUCCCGUCUUCUCCAGAUAACAUAUGACGCCCAUCUUUCAUAUCCCCUACUGGUCCUCUUACCGUUGGGGAUUCGGUGGUGAAGAAUGAUAUGACCGCUGCGGUGGUGGCCCGAAACCUUGUCACUCCCAGAGAUAACAGACUACUUUCCAAACGGUCUGAUGAGUUGGCUGUUAAGGAUUCUCUGGCUCUCAGUGUGCAGUGUGCAGGUUCUGUGUCUAAUAUGGCCCAACGCCUAUUUGCUCGAACCCGUCAAGUUGAAUCAUUGGCGGCUGAAGUGAUGAGUCUCAAACAGGAGAUAUUAGAGGGCUCAAGCAGAGAGAUAAACAGUUGCAUAAGCUCGCACAUAGCUAUGCGACAAACAUGAAGAGGAAGAUUAACCAGAUGCAGGAAUCUGAUGGUCAGAUUUUACUUGAUCAUCAGAGGUUUGUGGGUUUGUUCCAGCAGCAUUUGCCUUCGUCUUCUGGGGCUGUACCGCGUAAUGAAGCUCCAAAUGAUCAACCCUUGGCUCCUCUUCUUCCUGGAGUUCCGCCGAGUGGUGUGGCUUCAAACAGUCAACCUCCGACGCCUCUCAUUUCUGGAGCUCUGCUGAGUGGUGAGGUGGCACCUAAUCGUCCUUGAAGAUCCCCUCUUGUAAAUUUGAUUUGAUUUUUUUUUAAGUAUGUAUAAUGCAAAUUUAUGUAAAAUUUCCAGAAAAAAUAAAUAAAAACGGACUUUAUUUCUCUCAAUGCAUUUGUUUUGUUUUGUUUUUGUUUUUUUUGUUUUUUUGUUUUUGUUUUUUUUGUAAAUACAUAAUAACAUAUGUAUUUAUUUAUUUAUUCUUUUGUAAUAAAAUUGACUUUCUUUAAUAAAACUUUUAUAUUUUUCUUAUUUAUUUUGAUAUGACUGAACUCGAAAUUGAAUGUUCGAGCCGCCUACGUACCCUUCCAAAGAAGAGAUCAAGCCAUAACGUAGUUCAAAUGAGUGAUGAAUUUAAUAGUGAUUUUGAUGAUGAUUUUGCCGUACACAGUUUAUGCUCUUGUGGGCCAGGAGCUUUGGUGUUGCCUUUUAUGCUCGUGCAGACCAGGAGCGUUGAUGUCGCCUUUUAUGCUCGUGUGGGUCAGGAGCGUUGAUGUUGCCUUUUAUGCUCGUGCAGACCAGGAGCUUUGUGCCAUGCAGUUUAGACUCGUGCGGGCAAGGAGCUUUGGUUCGUGCAGUUUAGGCUCAUGCGAACAAGGAGCAUUGGUUCGUGCAGUUUAGGCUCGUGCGAACAAGGAGCAUUGGUGUUGCCUUUUAUGCUCGUGCAGACCAGGAGCUUUGUGCUAUGCAGUUUAGACUCGUGCGGGUGAGGAGAAUUUGUGAAUUUUGUCAAGCACUUUUGGAGAGGCGUUCCUUACAAUCUUCAUAGCAAGGAGCCUUGACCGAGUGAUUGAAGAAGUCUUCGGGAAAGAAGUCGCACAUCGUGAUGGCAACAGACGAUCUUUGUGUCGUAAUUUCAUCAUCUUCAACACGUUCACGUUGCUUUGAAGGUUGACAAGAGCUGCUUUGCCCCCUUUCCGAUUGGCGGACUUGUGGAGGAGACGUAUGCUUCUUGUGCCAUUUCUUAGGAGUGACUUGAGUCCAUCCUUCAAGUUUGCUUGUUUUGGAGGAUGCCCCCGGCGGUUGAGGUGAAAAUUUUGUGUUGAAAGAGCCAGAAGUGAUGGUGGUAUAGUUUGACUUCACCACAUCGUCAAGAUCUAGCUCGAUGAUUCCUUUCUGAGCCCACUUUAUGAUGAGAUCUUUCAGCACAAAGCACUUUUCUGUCGGAUGACUGAUGAAGCGGUGGAAUUUACAGUAUCUUGGACUGUUGGUACGAUUCAUCUCUUCCGGCCAUCUGCACUCAGGCAAACUGAUCACCUUCUUGUCCAACAGGUCAUCCAACAUGGCAACCACAUCAGAGUCAGGGAAUGGAUAAGUCUUCUCUUUAAGCUCCUUCAAAGUGCGUCUACGCAUCUCUUGAUCACGAAAAGCUUCGGUUUGAAUCGUUUUGCCUCGUGUGGAGAUUUUGACGGGAGAUGUGUUGACUGUCAUUGCUUCCUUGGUGGAUUUCCACGUAGCCUUCUCCACCUUUGUCUCAAGAAUUUUGUCGUUCUUGUAGUCGGCGAUCGGUUCCUUCUUCCCAUGAUGGGUGAUGCUCAACUCCAUGUCAUGGGCGUGGGUGGCCAAUUCCUCGAAGGUCCGUGGUUUAAUGCCUUGAAGGAUGUAUUGCAAACCUCAUUGCAUGCCUUGGAUGCACAUCUCGAUUGAAGAGGUCUCCGAGAGCCUAUCUUUGCAGUCGAGGCUUAGAGUGCGCCAUCUGUUGAUGUAGUCAAUGACCGGCUCAUCUUUCCAUUGCUUCAUACUUGUGAGCUCCAACAUGCUUACAGUGCGGCGGGUGUUGUAGAAGCGGUUGAGGAAUUCCCGCUCCAAUUGCUCCCAGCUGUUGAUGGACUCAGGCUCUAGGUCCGUGUACCACUCAAAUGCGUUUCUUUUCAGCGAGCGCAUAAACUGCUUGGCGAAGUAGUCCCCCUCCGUCCCCGCGUUGUUGCAAGUUUUGACGAAAUGUGCAACGUGCUGCUUUGGGUUUCCUUUUCCAUCAAACUGCAUGAACUUUGGUGGUUGAUAUCCCAUCGGCAUCUUUAGGGCAUCAAUCUUCUUUGAAUAAGGCUUUGAGUACAACCCGGAGGUAUUUGAGCUCCCUUCGUACUAUGCCUUGACGGUGCUGGCAAUCAUCUCUUGCAACUGUUGGAUAGAAAGAGAUCCCAUGAGUGCCGCUUCUUGGUCUGGCUCCGGCUUCACAUCGAUUUUCUCCACCGUAGGCUCAUCUUCUGGGUUAGGGUUCUCGCUGUCCUGUGGCUCCAGUUGACUGAUGAGUGCAGCGAUUUGCAAGUCUUUUUCUUCCACAGUUCGGGUUAGCCUUGCGAUUGCUUCAUUCAUUUGAGCCAGUUGUUCUUCGAUGGAGGUAACGCCGAUGGUCAUGACUUGUGCAACCAAUAGACGUGACUUUCCUUUAGACAUCCAAGAUGCUGAAGAAGAACGUCAUUGGUUGUUUUGGGAUGUCAUCUUGUGUGCCUCAGCAACAUGCUUUGGUGCCCCCAGCGAGGUCAGGUUGAUGACAGACUCACACCUUUGAUGCUCCCUUUGCUCUUUUAGCGGCACCAACUUUGAAGUGGCAUGUUAAGGAGCGGUUGUGGUGCUAAUGGAUUGUCCAUUUGCGGCAGAAGUGCUUAGGAUCCUUCCCUCAGUGAUUGCGAGAACGGCUUGUCCCUUGCUUGAUGCCAUUGAUUUUGAGGUGUGUUUGGAUUCCUUAAACGGAGAAAGAUAUGAGAGGUAGAGAUUGUCCCACCGGGCGUGCCAAUUUGUGAACACGAAAAUUUCCUGAAACGAAAGAGACAAGAACAACGUGCACAAAAUAAUAUUUUGGUGUUAAUGGAUUUGUUGGGUUACGAUCUCUUUUAACUUGAUCCUCUGAUUCGAUCUCCGUAAGGUGUUGAUUUAUGGAUGUUUCGUUGAUCUAAGGGCCGUCGAGGCUUGAUCUUGGAUGAACUGUUGGAAGUUUCUUCAAGGGGCCGUGGGCUUGAUCUUUGAAGGUGGAUUUGAGCGGAUCUUCAAGGAGCCGUUGGGGCUUGAUCUUGAGGAUGAGUGUUUCUUCAAGGGCCGUUAAGGCUUGAUCUUGAAUAACGGUGAUGAACGGAUCUUCAAGGGCUUUUGGGCUUGAUCUUGAAGAACGGUUGGAUGUGUGGAUUUGUUGAUGUUGUUGAUCCAAGGGCCGUCGGGGCUUGAUCUUGGAAGAACGAUGAACGAAGAACGAAGAACACUUUCUUCAAAGGCCGUCGGGGCUUGAUCUUGAAUUGGUGAUUGUUGAUCCAAGGGCCGUCGGGGCUUGAUCUUGGAAGAACGGUGAACGAAGAAUGAAGAACGAAGAACACUUUCUUCAAGGGCCGUCGGGGCUUGAUCUUGAAUUGGUGAUUGUUAAUCAAAGGGCCGUCGGGGCUUGAUCUUGGAAGAACGAUGAACGAAGAACGAAGAAGGCUUUCUUGAUUCUUCGGGAUGAACGGAUGAUGAACAAUGAACACUUUCUUCAAGGGCCAUCGGGGCUUGAUCUUGAAUUGGUGGAAGUUCUUCAGGGCCUUUGGGGCUUGAUCUUGAAGGUGGAUGAUUGUUGAUCCAAGGGCCGUCGGGGCUUGAUCUUGGGAUGAACAGUUGUGUGGAUUUGUUGAACACUUUCUUCAAGGGCCGUCGAUGCUUGAUCUUGAAUUGGUGGAAGUUCGUCAAGGGCCGUUGGGGCUUGAUCUUGAAGAAGGAUUUGACGAAGAACGAAGAGAGCUUUCUUGAUCCUUCGGAAUUUGCUUGAAUUUGGGAGGUUGGAUGCUUGAAAGCUUUAGAGUUUCAAAGCUUCAAGGAUUUUGGAUGUGUGGGGAGUAUUCUCUUACAUUUUGGGAGUAGAGAAAUGUAUUUGUGAAUUGGUUUUUGAUACCUUGAUGUAGAAGCCUAUUUAUAGGCUUUGAGAAUGAAUCACCACCACAAAAUAUUUUUUUCUUUUCCAAGCACCAUUGCCUAAUUUCCCACUUAAUACAAUUUUAAACUUGAAGUGGUAAUUUUAUGGCCUAAUUUUCCACUUAAUAUCAUUUUAAACUUGAUAUGUGCAUGCUUUGUCAUUGCCCAAAAUGAGAAGAAAACCUUGUUUUGAUCUUCAAUGGAUUGAAAUGUGCUUUGCCUUGUCAUUGCCCAAAAUGAGAAGAAAAACUUGUGUAAUCCUCCAAGGGUAUUUCUUUUUAUUUUGUUGAGUCACACACCAUGUGUACAAUUUGUAUGACACGUGGCAUAUGCCAUAUAUGCCUUGACACGUCAAAAUUUUAAUGCGUUGGUGAACAUUUAUUUCACCGCAAUUUCGAUGUCUACAAUUUCAUUUCUUGUGAAUAAUGUUUAUCCUGUGUUCUGUCCAAUCGCGUAUUAAAAAAUGUGUGAAGUUUGGAUUAACCACACUCUUUUAGAAUUUCCUUUAUUUACCACUUUUUGAGAAUUUCCAAUAAGACUGGGUGAGUCUCCGCUGAGAAUUUCCUCAACUAACACCACACUACUUGAGGGAUAAUUUGUUAUAUCUUUGAAUAAAGAAUAAAACAGUUUCCUACUUUUGAAGGUACUAUUAACUUACACUAUAUUUGGAUGAAGGUCAAACUUUAUAAAUUGACAUACACCAAAUUCUUUGUUUGGAUUCAUAAACAUAUAAAUUUAGAAUUUCCGCGUGGAAAAAAAAAAUACUUAGAAUUUGAGACCUCCAAUUCUCAAAUUGAAAGUUUAAAAAUAAUAAAUUCCGUAUUCAAUUCAAUUGUUCUUUUAGGUUAACCAAAUAAGAAAAUUCACAAAUUCUAAAAUAUAAAAUCUCAUCAUUUCAAUUUCCGUCAUUUUAAAAUUCCUUAGUAAUAUUAAAUUUCUUCAUCCAAACAUAGUGUUAAGAAAUUUUUUAAAGAUACACUAUUUACACUCAUUUUUAUUUCUUACACAUUUAUUAACUUUGUCCAUUGAUUUCUUCAAUUCAUUUUGCCAGUUAUACAAAAAUUGAGAACAGUAUUUAUGAAUUAAAAAUACAUUUGUAGAUGUCACUACCAAAUUUUUAUUCCUAAUUCAAGAAAAUCUUAUCCAUAUAUGAUUGCCCUUGCCCACUUUAAAUGGGUGCCAUCACUUUACGAUAGAGCAAUCCUAACCGUCCACCUAGGUAAGCAUAACUGGCGAUGCAUGUCGCAAGGGGACCGCAUUGCACAAUAUAAUUAUACUAGUUGAUAAGACAAGUGAUGUCAAUCAAUAAAUUAUUUCAUUAAAACUUAGUUGUAUGUAUCAUAUGUUGUAAUGUAGGGUGUAUGAUAUGCUGACGCUGUAAAAAAAUGUAACCUUUUUAAUAUUACUCAUAAUAGUAAGACUUACCAGUAUUAGGAUGUUAUCAGUGGAAUGAGAAUCCUCUCCAGAUCUUUUUUGUGAGCUAUUAUUUGUAUUUAAUUUUAAAUAUAAAAAAUUAAAAUAAUUUAUGACGGCAGUGAUUCACAUGAUCUUCACAAAGAGAAUCCAAAUAAUCUUAAUUUAUAUCAGUGUGUCUAGAUAACAUGAUCGAGCCCCUUUACUUUUACCCUAUUUAGUAUUUUACAUUUGAACCUGUAAAUAUUCGAUUUUUCUUUGGUGCAACCGAGCACCAAAUAUAGAUUUUUUUUCACUUUUAUAUAAUGAUAAAUAAAGGGCAAUUGGCAGAUUUGAAUUCCAUUCGGAUUGGUCAAAAAUCAUUUUAAAUUGUUUUAUUUAAAAUUAAACACAUAUAGUACUUAAUAAAAAUUAGUCGUACAAUAUACGAUAAACAGAUAUAAUGUAAGGACCUUUAUGAUCUUCACAAAAAAGAUCCAAAGGUUGUGUAGCUGUUUCAAAAGGAUAAUACUCACUUUUGAUUAGUUCAAUGAAAUUUUAAACAUGUUUUAUUGUUUUAAAAAAUAAUAAACAUAUUUAUUAAUGUUUGUUUUACUUUAAAAAAUAAGCAGCACUUGACAACAUUUGAUUGUGCUAAAUAAAAAAUGAGUGACCACUUAGUACUACAGUCUUAUGAUAUUUUUCUUCAUUUGAAAGUGAGAGGUUUUAAGUUCGAAUCUCGUGGAUGACGAAUUUGAUAUCAAAUUAGAUUGCUCACUAUGUGGCUUAGCCGAACUCUCAUUUCCUUUAAUGUAAAAAUAUUGAUGUAUUCAAAAAAAUAAAAAGUGACUAUAGAGGACACUCAAUCUCAGCUGUAUGAUUAAAUCAGACGGUAAGAAAAAUUCUGCAAGCAUACUCGGUUACAUUAAUUGAAGAAAAAAUGGGUAAAUAUUGGGCACCAACGUUAUAAAUACCCUCCACCAUGCACCCAACUCCCUCACACCAUCACAACCCACGUUACAAAUCCUCCUCCUCAUCAUAACCAUUCUGUUUUCCGCAUAAUAUCCAAAAACCUAUCAUGUCUGAAGAGAAACACCACCGCGGUCUCUUCCACCACCACAAGGAUGAAGACAAACCCUCAGACUACCCUCAGUCUGGCUACUCUGAUGAAGGACGUCCCGGCGGCCUCGGUGGUGGUUACGGCGACACCAAUGAUUAUUCUGGUGAAGGACGUACCGGCGGCCUAGGUGGUGGCUAUGGCGACACCAAUGCUUAUUCUGGUGAAGGACGUCCCGGCGGCUAUGGCGGCUAUAACGAGACCACUGCUUACUCUGAGGAAAGAGUUGAAAGACCCGGCGGUGGCCGGUACAGUGAGACUACUGCGGCAUAUGGCAGCACCACCACUCAUGAAUCUGAACUUGAUUACAAGAAGGAGGAGAAGCACCACAAGCAU